Long non-coding RNA from Oncorhynchus tshawytscha (Chinook salmon), 732 nucleotides. The record is from Ensembl. NCBI's taxonomy places the organism in Eukaryota, Metazoa, Chordata, Actinopteri, Salmoniformes, Salmonidae.
GGGCGAGACAACAGCAGCGCGUCUGGGAAGGUCUUCCGCUGCUUUAGUGUAUGUAGUGAAUGCAAACACAACAGCGUGCGUUCUGGGAAUUACGACGUUCUAAGAGUGAAAUAGUGAUUAUUUUCUGACUGUUCCCUCUUCGUCGAUACACUUGCUGGAAUUUUGGAUUAUUUCUCUCGGAAAUAUUUUGCGGGAUUAAUUUGUGAGAAGGUACUCAGCCAGUUGGAAGGAAGAAUUCAGCCCACACCACCUCCAUCUCGGAACCAUUCAGAAUCUUGUUCUGAUUUGGAUUUCUACUCAAUCUCCUGGUCUGGAUGUUCACUCUGUACCGGUUUGGCUCAUCGAAUCCCACCGCCUUUGUUGGAUGAUUCAGAAGCUGAGACCGACACAUCAACACGCACGCGCACAGUGUGAGAAUUCAGAUUCAGCCCUCGUUAUGCCUGCAUGAAUAAGUAAAACUGGAUCAGUGGCCGUGGGACGACUGGCUUUGGAUCACAGGGGGCCAACUACAUAAUGGGACCAUUUGAAUGUGGCGUUGAGAGACCACUUGGAGGACACCCUGUGGACCCACACGCCAUCCUGUGACAGUCUGAACUGAGGUUCUGAAGAAUGCCCCAUGGCUGUGUGUCGCCAGUAUUAAGAGCCGUCCUCCCCUCAGCAGCCUCCACUGCUCUACAGUACUCAAGCCAAGGUACAGGACAUUGAUCCCCUGACGGGAACACAAUGAGAACG